UCUCCGUUAGUGAACCAGCGGAGGGAUCAUUACAGGACUCGCAAGACUCCUACAACCCUGUGAACUUAACUAUAAGCACGUUGCUUCGGCGGGUGUCUCGGAGGGGGUUCUCCCUCCCCGAGACGCUAAACCCGCCGGCAGCCUACUAUACUCUGUCUCUUUGCGUUGGCAUCUCGAGUACAAUCAAACAAGUUAAAACUUUCAACAACGGAUCUCUUGGUUCUGGCAUGAUGAAGAACGCAGC
This 244-nucleotide unclassified non-coding RNA is filed under the name plant metagenome. Its description in RNAcentral is "partial contains small subunit ribosomal RNA, internal transcribed spacer 1, and 5.8S ribosomal RNA". The record is from RNAcentral.